This 301-nucleotide ribosomal RNA is filed under the name uncultured bacterium. Its description in RNAcentral is "partial 16S ribosomal RNA". It matches the Rfam family "Bacterial small subunit ribosomal RNA", at positions 509 to 807 of the family's 1533-position model. The record is from RNAcentral.
CAGUAGCCGCGGUAAUACAGAGGGUGCGAGCGUUAAUCGGAUUUACUGGGCGUAAAGCGUGCGUAGGCGGCUUCUUAAGUCGGAUGUGAAAUCCCUGAGCUUAACUUAGGAAUUGCAUUCGAUACUGGGAAGCUAGAGUAUGGGAGAGGAUGUUAGAAUUCCAGGUGUAGCGGUGAAAUGCGUAGAGAUCUGGAGGAAUACCGAUGGCGAAGGCAGCCAUCUGGCCUAAUACUGACGCUGAGGUACGAAAGCAUGGGGAGCAAACAGGAUUAGAUACCCCUGUAGUCCCUGUCUCUUAUAC